Molecule: long non-coding RNA, 2021 nt
Organism: Nymphaea colorata (pocket water lily)
Lineage: Eukaryota; Viridiplantae; Streptophyta; Magnoliopsida; Nymphaeales; Nymphaeaceae
Exons: 4
Source: RefSeq, a predicted model, not a curated record
CCCAUUUUUUCUCUCCCCUCAUGCUUCCCUGCUCGAAACCGUGAACUUCCAAGGCAUUCCGGUCAUCUCUGGCGUCCGACGGGGUCGGUCUGACGACUGACCACCGGCGGUUUCAAAUGAUGGCCGAUACGUCGCCACGGUAGGACGGCGAGACCGAGACUGCCCCAUGGUGGCGUCCUCUCUCUAGCACCCAACUUCUUUUCCUAUUCCUUUCGCUAGGUUUUCAUUGCUUUAAAGUUUUGGGUUCGAUCGGAAAAUUUUCAGCGGCCAACCUCGGGCGACCAGCGAGGCCACCACAAACCGAGACUUCAGCUUUUCUGGACACGGACUGCUAUUCCAGAGGCCAAGCGAUGUGCUAAGCUUGUGAAGCAAGGUGUAUCUAACCGCUGUACAAUGAAGCGUUGCAGGCUUGGAAGCUGUGGAAGAGAAACAGUGCCAUGCGUUGAUUGAUUGAUGAGGCGAUGGGCCAGUCCUAGGAAACAGUUUUAUCCAGUUCAAGUUAGGUUGCUUUCUAAGAUGUGGGAGGCAAUGGGGUUUGUUAGAAUGUAGUUGCAUUGCCUAGGGAAAAUGCCUGAUUAUGCGGAGCCUUUUGUUGUCUCUACUUGAGGUAAAUGCCUUAUGUUAUUUUAGUAAUUUGGUUGCCUAGAUUUGAGUUAGUGUUAUCGUCUUAUUAGUAUUACCAUGCACUUUAUGUGCAUGUAAAUUUUAGGAGAAUUACCCAAUUUCAAUGAUUUUGUUAUAUUUUCAAACUGUAGUCAGCAAUUCGACAUCAUAUACUAUGUUGUUAAGUACAACCAGGCAAAGUGAUGCGAAUGCUUGUGAAGCAACGCGUAUAUGAGCAAUGUAUAGUGAAGCGUAAGUUUCAGGUUAAAAAUAAUGUAGUAUAUAAUGUUAUGUGUUCCUUUCUCACGCCAAAAUAAGAAAUGAAGGAUGACACUAUUUUGUCAUUUGCCAUGCAGAUAGAAAAUUUAAUUUGUUGUCAUCAACAAUUUUACAUCUAAGUUUGAGAAUUAUUUAAUAAGUAUUGCAAAUGAAAAAAAAACAUUAUUUUCGUUUAUUUAGACAACACGCUUAUGAGAGCACCUAUUUCAUCCACUAGUUGCAAGUUCAAUAAAUGCAUUCAAAUCUACGAUUUUAUCCAACAUUUUUUAAAUUAGACGAUUUCAUUCAACAUGCGGUGUGAUUUCAACCUACACUAGCUAAAGUUUGUCUUGUUGUAGAUAAAAGAAAACAAAAACCUAACUAUAUGAAAUAGGAAAAUGGUUAACCACAAAAUAGAGAGAGGGAGGGUGAGAUGAGCGAUAGUCAGCUGAGGAGGUGUCUGCGAAGGUUGAGGUGUACGCUUUAUGCAUUGUGACGUGCGCUUCAAAUAACACGGGCAGUAUAUUUUAUGCUUGUGUGGUAGGGUUACCGCAAGGUAUACCGGUGGUAAACGUCUGUUACGGACCCUACUCUAGGUCCGAACCCAACAGGCACCGAGCAGGCCGAGCCCAGCAGAUAAGGGCGCAAACCCAUGCCUAUGUUGGCUCAAACGUUAGAAGAUGGGUCGGAAGAGCCUAAGGAGGUUAAGCUAGCACUCGAGCAGGUUGCAGCAGGAGGAGUGGGUGGAGCAACAAGGUCCGAGUAUGAGCAACAAAAGGAUGAUCAUCAAUGCCAAAUUGAACCGAUGUUAGGACUUUCAGGUAUAGAUAAGUCUAAACCUAUCUCAAGUCCUAAUCCGCGAGCACUUGAGGCGAUCUAGGACCAAGCUCCUAGGCAAAUGGGCUAAGUCACCCAGGCUUAGCACGGAUCUAAAUCCAAAGUUCAGGCAGUUCCCCAAACGAGGUCCCCCACCUUGGGCUCACAAAGCUCAAGGGCGUUUGAUUUGAGUUGGGCGCUAGGCCUGUUUUUUAUUAUGCACUUUGCUUCUAAGUACUUUGCUUAAGCAUUUGAUUUCAUGUAAUUAUGAGACGGGUUGUGUUUCGAUUCGUUUUGUUUGGACCGGUUCUAUAGGCUUAAGAACCGAGUCAUUUGCUCUUGUA